AGGGGUAGUGGAGUCAAUCUUGAAAUACCACCCUUGUUUAAUUAGGUUUCUAACUUAUAGAAAUAUGAGGAGAGUGCCAGGUGGGUAGUUUGACUGGGGCGGUCGCCUCCUAAAGAGUAACGGAGGUGCGCAAAGGUUACCUUAGAGUGGUUGGAAAUCACUCUGUAAGUGUAAAGGCAUAAGGUAGCUUAACUGUAAGACUGACAAGUCGAACAGAUACGAAAGUAGGUCUUAGUGAUCUGGCGGUGGCAAGUGGAAGCGCCGUCACUUAACGAAUAAAAGGUACUCCGGGGAUAACAGGCUUAUCCUUCCCAAGAGUUCACAUCGACGGAAGGGUUUGGCACCUCGAUGUCGGCUCAUCGCAUCCUAGGGCUGGAGCAGGUCCUAAGGGUAUGGCUGUUCGCCAUUUAAAGCGGUACGCGAGCUGGGUUCAGAACGUCGUGAGACAGUUUGGUCCCUAUCUGCCACAAGCGUUGGAUAUUUGAGAGGAGCUAUCUUUAGUACGAGAGGACCGAGAUGGACGAACCUCUAGUGUACCAGUUAUCCUGCCAAGGGUAAGUGCUGGGUAGCUACGUUCGGAAAGGAUAACCGCUGAAAGCAUCUAAGUGGGAAGCCUUCCUCAAGAUGAGAUAUCCUUUAAGGGUCCUGGAAGAAUACCAGGU
Molecule: ribosomal RNA, 662 nt
Filed under: Borreliella burgdorferi (Lyme disease spirochete)
Lineage: Bacteria; Pseudomonadati; Spirochaetota; Spirochaetia; Spirochaetales; Borreliaceae
Description: partial 23S ribosomal RNA
Rfam family: Bacterial large subunit ribosomal RNA
Source: RNAcentral